CGUCAAGGUCUGAGCUUUGAGAGCUGAGUGCCUUCUGUGUUCCAGAGCUUGGUUACGACAUGGCCUCUAGGUGGGUUACCCUUCACGUUUAAAGAGAAGAUGCAGUGUAAGCACCGUGGAGACUCCACAUUGCUCCUGUGGUGACCGGAUUACAGACAGCAACAGGAGACAGCAAGACUCCAGACUCAGCAGACCGGCGUUCGAAUCCCGGCUCCAGCAUUGACGCACUCCUCUCUGAGUGUAUCUAUAAAAUGGGAAUGACAGCAUCUUAUUUGAAAGGCAGAAGCACCAGGCUGGCCCUCCACUCCAGCAGGGGCCCCAGUGAGGCUGCAGAUGGUCCUUGUCCACCUCUGGGAGCAGGUACUCGAUGAAGCAGGAGGACUCCAGAAGUCCUUCCAGGCAUCUUCUCCUGCAGGCCUUCCCUGGGCAACCGUUCCUACAGCGGCGGCUCCAGAAUUUCUAUAUCGGGGGUACUUAGGGGCGGGAAUGGGAGAGUGGGCCCUGACCCAGCAAAAUGUUGUUUUUACCUAAACUGCAUGUUAUAGAUGAAUACAA
Molecule: long non-coding RNA, 555 nt
Filed under: Equus caballus (horse)
Lineage: Eukaryota; Metazoa; Chordata; Mammalia; Perissodactyla; Equidae
Description: lncRNA (ENSECAG00000049587.1)
Source: RNAcentral